AUAAUUAUAAUCUUACAUUUAUUUUAGUUUUUGUUAUGAGAAAUAUCUUUUUUUUUUAGUAUUUUAAUGAAAAAUGUUCUUUUGUUAUAGUAUAAUAGUACUGUUAAGGAAUUGAUGAAAUAAUUUAAAAUUAAAUUUUUAAAAAGUAUAAUUUAUUUUUAGUACCUUUUGUAUCAGGGUUAAAUAAAUAUAGUAAUUUAUUUUAUAGUCUCGAUUCCAAAAGAGCUAAAUUAAUAUUUUGGUUAAUGUAUCAUAAUUAUCAAAAAUAUAAUUUAGAGGAGAAAUUUUAUUCGGUUUUGGAGGUAUCUAGUUUUUUAAGAAAUAAAUUUAAUUUAAUUUUAYAUUUUAAUUUUUAUAUUGUAUUAUAGAUUAUUAUAUAAAUUAAAAAUUAUAGGGGAUAAGCUCUAUAUUAUUCUAUAAAUAUUUUCUUCAAUAAAUUAUUGUAGGUUUAGAAAUAUCCAUCUUUAGCAAGUGUGUUAUAAUUUAUUUUUUUUUAUUAAUAAAUUUAAUUAAUUUUAGUUAAUUAUUAAAAUAUUGAGAUGAAUAUAAACUCUCAAGUAAUAAUGUUUAAAUUAGUAUAAAUAUAAGUUUAUAAUAUUGAAUAAUAUUAGAUAAAAUAAGGAACUCGGCAAAUAUAGUUCUCGCCUGUUUAWCAAAAACAUGUCCUUUUGAAUUUAAUAAUAGGUCUGGCCUGCCCAGUGAUGAAUUUAACGGCCGCGGUAUACUGACCGUGCAAAGGUAGCAUAAUCAUUAGUCUUUUAAUAGAGGGCUGGAAUGAAAGGUUUAACGAGGAAUUGACUGUCUCAUUUUAUUUGUUUUAAAAUUUAAUUUUUUAGUUAAAAAGCUAAAAUUGUAUUGGAAGACGAGAAGACCCUAUAGAUCUUUAUAUAAUUAUAAUUAAUUAAUAUUAUAUUAAUAUAUUAUUUAUUAUUAUAUUUUGUUGGGGUGACAAAAAUAUAUAAUUAACUUUUUUAUUUAUUAAACAUUGAUUUAUGAAUUAUAGAUCCAUUAUUAGUGAUUGUUAGAUUAAGUUACCUUAGGGAUAACAGCGUAAUCCUCUUCCAGAGUUCAUAUUUACAGGAGGGCUUGCGACCUCGAUGUUGGAUUAAGAUAAUAGUUAGGUGUAGCCGCUUAAUUAAUAGGUCUGUUCGACCUUUAAAC
This 1161-nucleotide ribosomal RNA is filed under the name Brachymesia gravida. RNAcentral describes it as "partial 16S ribosomal RNA". Lineage: Eukaryota; Metazoa; Arthropoda; Insecta; Odonata; Libellulidae. The record is from RNAcentral.